CAGUAGCCACGGUAAUACGUAGGGUCCGAGCGUUGUCCGGAAUUACUGGGCGUAAAGAGCUCGUAGGUGGUUUGUCGCGUCGUCUGUGAAAUUCUGCAGCUUAACUGUAGGCGUGCAGGCGAUACGGGCAGACUUGAGUACUACAGGGGAGACUGGAAUUCCUGGUGUAGCGGUGAAAUGCGCAGAUAUCAGGAGGAACACCGGUGGCGAAGGCGGGUCUCUGGGUAGUAACUGACGCUGAGGAGCGAAAGCGUGGGUAGCGAACAGGAUUAGAGACCCCGGUAGUCCCUGUCUCUUAUAC
Molecule: ribosomal RNA, 301 nt
Filed under: uncultured bacterium
Lineage: Bacteria
Description: partial 16S ribosomal RNA
Rfam family: Bacterial small subunit ribosomal RNA
Source: RNAcentral